Molecule: long non-coding RNA, 310 nt
Filed under: Homo sapiens (human)
Lineage: Eukaryota; Metazoa; Chordata; Mammalia; Primates; Hominidae
Description: PROX1 antisense RNA 1
Source: RNAcentral
UUUUUUUCCCCCGGCAGAGAGAGGAAAACACGCGAGUGCACACACGGUGAUAUCUUGCGGGUGAUGAAUAUGAUAAUUGGACAAGGGACGGACAGAAGAGCUCCUUGGCACUGGAUGCCUCCGGGUCUGGUUGAGAGAGGAAUGGUUAGGAGACUGUUCUGAGGAUACGCAGACAUCAUCCAAAGCUUCCUACAUUCAGAUGAGGACAGAGGUUGGGCCAGAGCUUUGUAAGCUUGUUACCUAAGGAUGGUUCUGACCAUGUAAGCAGAUCACAGAAGAGCCAGCCUUGACAAUGUGCUGAUGGCAACCU